UACAGAGGUCUCAAGCGUUGUUCGGAUUCAUUGGGCGUAAAGGGUGUGUAGGUGGCGCGCUAAGUCAGGUGUGAAAUCUCGGGGCUUAACUCCGAAACUGCAUUUGAUACUGGCGUGCUUGAGGACUGGAGAGGAGACUGGAAUUCAUGGUGUAGCAGUGAAAUGCGUAGAGAUCAUGAGGAAGACCAGUGGCGAAGGCGGGUCUCUGGACAGUUCCUGACACUGAGGCACGAAGGCCAGGGGAGCAAACGGG
Molecule: ribosomal RNA, 253 nt
Filed under: uncultured bacterium
Lineage: Bacteria
Description: partial 16S ribosomal RNA
Rfam family: Bacterial small subunit ribosomal RNA
Source: RNAcentral